RNAcentral lists this non-coding RNA (89 nucleotides) under Massilia sp. WF1. RNAcentral's name for it is "Fluoride riboswitch aptamer (crcB RNA motif)". It matches the Rfam family "Fluoride riboswitch aptamer (crcB RNA motif)". The record is from Rfam by way of RNAcentral. Lineage: Bacteria; Pseudomonadati; Pseudomonadota; Betaproteobacteria; Burkholderiales; Oxalobacteraceae. RNAcentral also lists the same sequence under 1 other name.
AUAAUCAGCGGAGAUGGCAUUCCUCCCCGUAUCGCUCGACACCGUUCGACACCAAACCGCCCUUCGGGGCUGAUGAUGCCUGCACGUUC